UACGGGGGGAGCAAGCGUUGUUCGGAUUUACUGGGCGUAAAGGGCGCGUAGGCGGUCAGCACAAGUCAGUUGUGAAAUCUCCGGGCUUAACUCGGAAAGGUCAACUGAUACUGUGCGACUAGAGUGCAGAAGGGGCAACUGGAAUUCUCGGUGUAGCGGUGAAAUGCGUAGAUAUCGAGAGGAGCACCUGCGGCGAAGGCGGGUUGCUGGGCUGACACUGACGCUGAUGCGCGAAAGCCAGGGGAGCGAACGGG
RNAcentral lists this ribosomal RNA (254 nucleotides) under uncultured bacterium. Its description in RNAcentral is "partial 16S ribosomal RNA". It matches the Rfam family "Bacterial small subunit ribosomal RNA", at positions 524 to 776 of the family's 1533-position model. The record is from RNAcentral.